This 500-nucleotide ribosomal RNA is filed under the name uncultured bacterium. RNAcentral's name for it is "partial 16S ribosomal RNA". It matches the Rfam family "Bacterial small subunit ribosomal RNA", at positions 30 to 523 of the family's 1533-position model. The record is from RNAcentral.
AUUGAACGCUGGCGGCAUGCCUUACACAUGCAAGUCGAACGGCAGCACGUGAGCAAUCCUGGUGGCGAGUGGCGAACGGGUGAGUAAAGUAUCGGAACGUGCCCAGUCGUGGGGGAUAACGCAGCGAAAGUUACGCUAAUACCGCAUACGAACUAUGGAUGAAAGCGGGGGAGCGCAAGACCUCGCGCGGAUUGAGCGGCCGAUAUCAGAUUAGCUAGUUGGUGGGGUAAAGGCUCACCAAGCCGACGAUCUGUAGCUGGUCUGAGAGGACGACCAGCCACACUGGGACUGAGACACGGCCCAGACUCCUACGGGAGGCAGCAGUGGGGAAUUUUGGACAAUGGGCGAAAGCCUGAUCCAGCCAUGCCGCGUGCAGGAUGAAGGCCUUCGGGUUGUAAACUGCUUUUGUACGGAACGAAAAGGUUUGGCCUAAUAAGCUGAGCUCAUGACGGUACCGUAAGAAUAAGCACCGGCUAACUACGUGCCAGCAGCCGCGGUAA